This 119-nucleotide ribosomal RNA is filed under the name Pteropus alecto (black flying fox). Lineage: Eukaryota; Metazoa; Chordata; Mammalia; Chiroptera; Pteropodidae. The record is from RNAcentral.
GUCUACGGCCAUGCCACCCUGAACACGCCCGAUCUCGUCUGAUUUCAAAAGCUAAGCAGGGUCAGGCCUGGUUAGUACUUGGAUGGGAGACCACCUAGGAAUACUGGGUGCUGUAGGCU